Molecule: ribosomal RNA, 162 nt
Filed under: uncultured bacterium
Lineage: Bacteria
Description: partial 16S ribosomal RNA
Rfam family: Bacterial small subunit ribosomal RNA
Source: RNAcentral
AUUCGCUAGUAAUCGCGCAUCAGCCAUGGCGCGGUGAAUACGUUCCCGGGCCUUGUACACACCGCCCGUCAAGCCAUGGGAGCCGGGGGCGCCUGAAGUCCGGGACCGCGAGGACCGGCCUAGGGCGAAACUGGUGACUGGGCUAAGUCGUAACAAGGUAAC